CUGUAAUAUAAGCGCUGUUAGUGAAAGUAUACUGAGAACGGUUUGCAGUAGUUACCAGUAAAAAUCCUAAAAUUAUAGUGAAAGUUAAGGAUUUUUCUAUUAUUUAAAUAAAUUUUUUAUAUAUGAAAUAUACAUAAAGAUAAUAAAUAGUAAUGCAAGAUGAAUAAGAUACAAAUAUUGAAAUCAGCGCCAUCUUAAAAAUGCCGCAAAUGAAAUACAAAAAAAAAAAGAAAAUGAGAUAGAGAUAGAGAUAUAAUAAGAAUAGACUCUUAGCGCCAUCUCUUGACACUUUUUGAAAAGCACAUUUCCAAUCGAAGAAAUCGAUAAAUAAUCGAUAAAUCGAUAAUAAAUUGGCUUAUGAUUGGCCAAUCAAAAAACUGUUAUUCGAAUUUUGGCACGCGUCAAUCUGCAAUGGAAAAUCAUCAUCAUGAAAGGAUAUAAGAUUUUAAUUUCGAUGACUACAAAAUAAAUUCAAGGAGCACCAGUUAUGUAUUUCAAUAUUUUUAUUAUCUCAAACAUAUGUGAUAAAAAAGAGAACUUUUUUCCAAAUCAACAUUUCCUAUUUUUCAAGGCAAUAUGAUCAUUUUGCUAUCUUUAAUUUCUUAAUUUCCUCAUUAUAAACAAAUGCUUGAUACUUGAUAGCUACAUGACUUUGUUCAUUAGCCAUCAUUGGUAUAUACUGAUUUGCAUUUUCUUCUUGCCACAUGUGGUUUUAUGUCGUAUCACAAAUUUUUUGGAAUUUGUGUGUCAUCAAUCAGUGUGAAUGUAAAUAUGAUGAAUGUUGAUACGAAGAGAAUUUGUUAGAUGUUCAAUCAAAGCUGAAUUAGGAACAAAGUGUUUAAAUUCUUAUAUAGAUAAGAAAUAUAAAAAAAAAACUUUCAGAAUAAAUUAAAUGUUAAUGUUAUAUUUUUAAUUCAAGUUUGUUUCAGGAUUUCUUAUAGGAAUAGAAGAUUGUAUAAUUGAUUAAAAAAAAGUGUAUUUAAAAUUAAGUGCAUGCAGAAUCAAGGGUAUUAAAUAAAGUUAUGUAUUGUAGAAAAGUAGAUACUGUAGAUAAAUAGGUGGAUAACAUACAUUUAGGAAAGGAGAAUUUAUUUACGAAUAAAAUAAUUUGGGAAAUUUAUAAA
Molecule: long non-coding RNA, 1124 nt
Organism: Apis cerana (Asiatic honeybee)
Lineage: Eukaryota; Metazoa; Arthropoda; Insecta; Hymenoptera; Apidae
Source: RefSeq, a predicted model, not a curated record